This is a long non-coding RNA of Salvia splendens (bonfire salvia), 808 nucleotides long. RefSeq lists it as uncharacterized. The record is from RefSeq and is a predicted model, not a curated record. Lineage: Eukaryota; Viridiplantae; Streptophyta; Magnoliopsida; Lamiales; Lamiaceae. The transcript has 2 exons.
CCCAAUUAACCCCAAGCCUGCGAUUUUUCUUGCCCAACAAUUCGAAUUGACGACAUUUUCGCUCCUCUUCCUUCUUCGCGUCGGAGAAGACUGGCCCACUAAUUCCGGCAAGGACGGCCAUUUUCAGUCGACGAGUUUAUGGUGGCAAUAUGAUGAAGAUGGAUUUCUCCUCCAGAUGCUAAUUUUGUAGUCUUGCAUUCUGAAUUUUUCUUGCCCCAAAAAGCUCAAAAUGCUGAAUUGCUGAAUUUCAUAAAAUUGCUGAAUUUCUUCCCCAAUUUUGCAUUCAAAAAUUGCUGAAUUUCUUCUCCAAUUUCUCUUCCAGAUGCUAAUUUUGUUGUGGAGUAGAUUUAUGGAUUUCCUCCCAAAAAUUCGGAUGCUAAUCUCUCCUCCCAAAUGCAGAGUAGAUUUUGGAUGCUAAACGUGGAAGGGAUUUUGGAAUCUCCUCCAGAUGCUAAUUUUGAAAUUUGACAGACACGUUUAACACAAACACACAUCAAUUAUUGAAACUCGCAGAAUGUGCUACGACGUGACAAUCAGAAUGUGCUAGGACGUAGAUUAUAUAAAAAAAAUACUUAUAGUGCCCAUAGAAUCAUAAGACGAGAGCUUCGACAGUCGUGAGUCGGUCAUUACACUGAAGAAAAAAAAACAUUCAGAGAUGUAGUAGUAAGCAUUGAAAGCAUGCUUGUAGUUGCGUGUCAUUCAUUUCUUCUAAAAUUUGUGCAUGACAACAUCGAUAUUUCACAGGAAGCUUACGAAACAAGACAACAAAACAAGCAUGUCGAGUAUCUGCUCGACAUGAUCGAAAUUU